UACGUAGGGUGCAAGCGUUGUCCGGAAUUAUUGGGCGUAAAGAGCUCGUAGGCGGUCUGUCGCGUCGGCUGUGAAAUCCCGGAGCUCAACUCCGGGCCUGCAGUCGAUACGGGCAGACUGGAGUUCGGCAGGGGAGACUGGAAUUCCUGGUGUAGCGGUGAAAUGCGCAGAUAUCAGGAGGAACACCGGUGGCGAAGGCGGGUCUCUGGGCCGUUACUGACGCUGAGACGCGAAAGCGUGGGGAGCGAACAGG
RNAcentral lists this ribosomal RNA (253 nucleotides) under uncultured bacterium. RNAcentral's name for it is "partial 16S ribosomal RNA". It matches the Rfam family "Bacterial small subunit ribosomal RNA", at positions 524 to 776 of the family's 1533-position model. The record is from RNAcentral.